GGGGUUGUAGCUCAGUGGUAGAGCUCAUGCUUAACAUGCAUAAGGACCUUGGUUCAAUCCCCAGCAUAGCUC
RNAcentral lists this transfer RNA (72 nucleotides) under Ictidomys tridecemlineatus (thirteen-lined ground squirrel). RNAcentral's name for it is "Spermophilus tridecemlineatus (thirteen-lined ground squirrel) tRNA". It matches the Rfam family "tRNA". From Rfam's summary of the family: Transfer RNA (tRNA) molecules are approximately 80 nucleotides in length. Their secondary structure includes four short double-helical elements and three loops (D, anti-codon, and T loops). The record is from Rfam by way of RNAcentral. RNAcentral also lists the same sequence under 1 other name. Lineage: Eukaryota; Metazoa; Chordata; Mammalia; Rodentia; Sciuridae.